AUUGGAUUUAAUUUUUAUGAAAAACCCUAAGCCCCUCUGGACCUGUCGGGAAAAGCAGAGCUUCAUUUUCUAUUUUCCAGAUUAUUGGAAGCCCGAUCUCCCGAUCAAAGCACACUCGCCAGCUUCGUGCUUCUGAUUUUUGCUCGGAAAUUGCUCGAUUGGAGUUGCUUUGUGAUGAAAAAGGCUAUGAAAUGGAGUGAUGAAGAGGACAAGUCGUCAUCUAUAGAGUCGUCUUAAUCACAGUCGGAUUCAGACGCUGAUGAGGAUAGUGGCGAGAAUAAAAGCAAACUUUCGAGUUAAAGCUGGUUGGUCCUCUAAAGAAAAAGACACUGGAGGCAAAUCUGGAAAGCGGAAGAGCAUUGCUGUGGACUUUCAUACACUGAAACGCCACGGCUACAAAGGCGGUCCAUCAAUCUUGUAGGUGCCUAUAACAACAGCCCAAGCCCAUUGCUAGUAGAUAUUGUCCGCUUUAGCUUGUUAUGUAUCGCCGUCAGCCUCACGGUUUUAAAACGCGUUUACUAAGGAGAGAUUUUCACACCCUUAUAAAGAGUGCUUCGUUCCACUCUCCAACCGAUAUAUGGGGUCUCAGAGUGCCACCCUCAGAAGAGAAUGAGAACUAGAUUGGCCACGGUCUACUGGUAGGAAGACUCAGGAAAACAGAGACACUGAAGAAUCGUGUGAAGAGAGACAGAAAAACAAGAGCUGCAUUAGAAAAUGGAGAGCAGCUGCUAACCGUGCAAACUCGGGAAGAGAAGAAUAAUAUUUCCUUCUCCCAGAAGGAAAAGAGGAAAAGAGAGCCCGGUCGAGCAAGCAGGGGGAAAGGCUAUGUAGAGAAAGAAAAGAGAAUGUUGAGGGAAUGCAAACCCAUGCAAUCAGCUGUUCUAACAAAGCAUUCACAUGAAUGCAAAUCCAUGCAACAAACAAAAUAUAAUUACAGGCAUAGUGAAUGACGUCGAGAAACUAAGGACCACGAGGCUUGCCGAAGCAGAAACAACGAGAUGCCUGGUCUUCAGGUCGCCUUUCUGGGUUUGCAUCCCAACAUCUUCUCAUGAUAUUUGCCAACGAACUCGGACAGCAUCGAGGGAUUUCUGGUCGUAAAUUCUGUUGCAAAGAGUGAUUAUGUUUAUAGUGUGAAGAA
Long non-coding RNA from Cucurbita pepo subsp. pepo (vegetable marrow), 1138 nucleotides. RefSeq lists it as uncharacterized. The record is from RefSeq and is a predicted model, not a curated record. NCBI's taxonomy places the organism in Eukaryota, Viridiplantae, Streptophyta, Magnoliopsida, Cucurbitales, Cucurbitaceae.